This 452-nucleotide ribosomal RNA is filed under the name uncultured Desulfobulbus sp. RNAcentral describes it as "bacterial SSU rRNA". It matches the Rfam family "Bacterial small subunit ribosomal RNA", at positions 936 to 1382 of the family's 1533-position model. Lineage: Bacteria; Pseudomonadati; Thermodesulfobacteriota; Desulfobulbia; Desulfobulbales; Desulfobulbaceae. The record is from RNAcentral.
AGUAUGUUGGUUAAUUCGAUGCAACGCGAAGAACCUUACCUGGUCUUGACAUCCCGGAGACCCUUAGGAAACUAGGGGGUGCUUCCAUCUGGAAGAAUCUGGGGACAGGUGCUGCAUGGCUGUCGUCAGCUCGUGUCGUGAGAUGUUGGGUUAAGUCCCGCAACGAGCGCAACCCUUGCCUUUAGUUGCCAGCAGUUCGGCUGGGCACUCUAAAGGGACUGCCGGUGUUAAACCGGAGGAAGGUGGGGAUGACGUCAAGUCCUCAUGGCCUUUAUGACCAGGGCUACACACGUGCUACAAUGGCCGAUACAAAGGGCAGCGACACUGCGAGGUGAAGCCAAUCCCGUAAAAUCGGUCUCAGUCCGGAUUGGAGUCUGCAACUCGACUCCAUGAAGUUGGAAUCGCUAGUAAUCGUGGAUCAGCAUGCCACGGUGAAUACGUUCCCGGGCCUU